Molecule: unclassified non-coding RNA, 219 nt
Filed under: Hevea brasiliensis (rubber tree)
Lineage: Eukaryota; Viridiplantae; Streptophyta; Magnoliopsida; Malpighiales; Euphorbiaceae
Source: RNAcentral
GCCCUGCAUUCGGGUGUGUCUUGAUGCAAGACUUCCUCAGUGCCCUUGCCAAGCGGCUCAAGCCUAACCCGACUGCCUAUGAGAACUACCGACGGAUCUUCGUCCCCGAAGGCCAACCCCUUGAGUCUGCACCCAGGGAGGCGUUGAGGGUGAAUGUACUCUUCAAGCACAUCCAGAGAAUGCUCUCAGGUGACACUGCUGUGAUUGCUGAGACUGGGG